AACGAACGCUGGCGGCAGGCCUAACACAUGCAAGUCGAAGGAGAAGCCGGGCUUCGGCCCGGUGGGAAACUGGCGCACGGGUGAGUAACGCGUGGGUAUCUACCUCGGGUGGGGAAUAACCGCUGGAAACGGCGGCUAAUACCGCAUACGCCUUCAGAGGGAAAGCUCCGGCGCCCUGAGAGGAGCCCGCGUUGGAUUAGCUUGUUGGUGGGGUAACGGCCCACCAAGGCUACGAUCUAUAGCUGGUCUGAGAGGAUGAUCAGCCACACUGGGACUGAGACACGGCCCAGACUCCUACGGGAGGCAGCAGUGGGGAAUAUUGGACAAUGGGCGCAAGCCUGAUCCAGCCAUGCCGCGUGAGUGAAGAAGGCCUUAGGGUUGUAAAGCUCUUUCACCUGCGAAGAUGAUGACGGUAGCAGGAGAAGAAGCCCCGGCUAACUCCGUG
This 445-nucleotide ribosomal RNA is filed under the name uncultured bacterium. Its description in RNAcentral is "bacterial SSU rRNA". It matches the Rfam family "Bacterial small subunit ribosomal RNA", at positions 29 to 507 of the family's 1533-position model. The record is from RNAcentral.